RNAcentral lists this ribosomal RNA (499 nucleotides) under uncultured bacterium. Its description in RNAcentral is "bacterial SSU rRNA". It matches the Rfam family "Bacterial small subunit ribosomal RNA", at positions 355 to 851 of the family's 1533-position model. The record is from RNAcentral.
UGAGGAAUAUUGGUCAAUGGGCUAAAGCCUGAACCAGCCAUCCCGCGUGCAGGAUGACAGCCUUAUGGGUUGUAAACUGCUUUUCUACAUAAAGAACGGGUCAUACGUGUAUGGCAUUGACGGUAGUGUAGGAAUAAGCAUCGGCUAACUCCGUGCCAGCAGCCGCGGUAAUACGGAGGAUGCAAGCGUUAUCCGGAUUCAUUGGGUUUAAAGGGUGCGCAGGCGGAGAGAUAAGUCAGUGGUGAAAUACUGCCGCUCAACGGUAGUCUUGCCAUUGAUACUGUCUUUCUUGAGUAUGGAUGAGGUAGGCGGAAUGUGCAGUGUAGCGGUGAAAUGCAUAGAUAUUGCACGGAACACCAAUUGCGAAGGCAGCUUACUGGACCAUUACUGACGCUCAGGCACGAAAGCGUGGGGAUCAAACCAGGAUUAGAUACCCUGGUAGUCCACGCAGUAAACCGAUGUUCACUCGCUGUUUGCGAUAUACCUGUAAGCGGCCUAG